GGUAGGUGGCCGAGUAGGCGGCAGGUUGUAGCCCUGUGUAGGCGGGUUAAGCCCCGUCCUUACCAA
This 66-nucleotide transfer RNA is filed under the name Trachylepis bayonii bayonii. RNAcentral describes it as "partial tRNA-Tyr". Lineage: Eukaryota; Metazoa; Chordata; Lepidosauria; Squamata; Scincidae. The record is from RNAcentral.